Molecule: ribosomal RNA, 426 nt
Filed under: uncultured Acetoanaerobium sp.
Lineage: Bacteria; Bacillati; Bacillota; Clostridia; Peptostreptococcales; Filifactoraceae
Description: bacterial SSU rRNA
Rfam family: Bacterial small subunit ribosomal RNA
Source: RNAcentral
UGGGGAAUAUUGGGCAAUGGGCGAAAGCCUGACCCAGCAACGCCGCGUGAGGGAAGAAGGGUUUCGGCUCGUAAACCUCUGUCCUAUGGGACGAAAGAGAUGACGGUACCAUAGGAGGAAGCCCCGGCUAACUACGUGCCAGCAGCCGCGGUAAUACGUAGGGGGCGAGCGUUGUCCGGAAUGAUUGGGCGUAAAGGGCGCGUAGGCGGUUUGGUAAGUUAGAAGUGUAAUACCCAGGGUUUAACUCGGGUGCUGCUUCUAAUACUGCCGGACUUGAGUGUAGGAGAGGAUGAUGGAAUUCCCAGUGUAGCGGUGGAAUGCAUAGAUAUUGGGAGGAACACCAGAGGCGAAAGCGAUCAUCUGGACUACAACUGACGCUGAGGCACGAAAGCGUGGGGAGCAAACAGGAUUAGAUACCCUGGUAGU